GCUCGAAUAAAUCCUCCCUUUGUUUCUUGACCUCCCCAUUUGCUCUGAAUUCUGAGGAGAUAAGAACCUAUCCUCCGAAACCAUCUUUGGCGGAAGGGCUCCUGAGCAGGAAAAUUCGAAAUACCUCUAACUCGGAGACCAAGCUGGAGGGGAUCUGAGGCUUCUCUCCCAUUCCCUUGCUUGCCGUCCUGCAAAAAAUGCUGUUUUCUUCUUCACCACGGAGAAUUCAGAAGAUCAUCUUUGCUGCCGGUACAUUGGCUUUGCUUCGCAGCAGGUAAGUGGACUUGAGUUCUGUUUGGUAGCAGUUGCCCCUCCCUGGGUCCCUUGGUUCUUUUCAAGUGGAGGAGGAAGCGUGCAGUGGUUAAAUGCACUUUGGCCUUGGACCAUGGUUCAUGUCAUGGCCGUGCUGUUUACCAGCCGGGUAGUCUUGGUCCUCAGAUUUCGCGUGUGUUAAAUAUGGGUAAAAAAUAUUAUGCCGUUGGAUUUUGAAAAGUGAUACUGCGUGUGAAGUACGGUUCCUGAUACACAAGAAACAGUCCCCUGAGGCCUGCUAAUAUAUAACUAUUCAUAAGAGUGAUAGUAAAGGUGGUAAAAUGUGUGAACGCUGAAGGCAAACAGUCUGGGCCAGAGCUUGGCUUUGGUUCUUUAUGUUACCUUUGAGCAGGUUACCUGAUUUUCUAUGCCUCAGUUGCUGUGUCUGUAAAUGGAGAUAAAAUUAGUACCUACUUUACAGGGUUGCUAUGAAUAGUAAAUAACAUAAUCACGAAAUGCUUUUACAGCAGACGUCUCGUGAUAUUAGCUAUUAGUUGUUAUCAUCCGGUAGAGGAGCGCAUCCUUCCCACCCUCCCGCCGCCGGGUCUAGAAGGGAUCAGCACACUGGUGUUUCUCACUCAGACUGACUUACAGUUGGAUUGGAAACCAAGGAUAGCAGCUUACUUGGGCUGAUUCCAGGUGGCUGUUUGGGUCUCUCCUGCCCAUGAGUAUCUCACUGGGCUCUCCUACCCGCAAUGGCAAACCCCCUAAGCCCCAAUAACUAUGAAUUCCUCACCACUUCUUAAAAAAUUCUGGACGGUCAGGAACAAUUCUUCCUGCUGAGACACCGCACAAAAGACUCCUCCAAGGCAAGCCUUUCCUGUCCACCUGACACAUGCUCACCCAGGACCCCGCUUUGCAAGUUUCCAGGUUGCAUGGCUCUUACACAUCAUUGUCAUGGAUUAAUUAUGCGGCACUUUAAGUCUCUGUUAGUCAUGGGUCAGGUGUGGUCUUUCCAGCUAGAAUGGGAGCUCCAGGGUAGUGAGUGUUCCGUUCAUCCCUAUUACCCAGUGCUUUCCCUCGGCUGCCGCAAAGUACACAUUCAAUAAAUCCGUCAACCUAAAGAAAAUAAUCUGCUCAGUGUAUCAAACUAUCAUGUUCUCAGAUUGUUUCAAGCUCCCCCACAAGCCUGAAAGGUCCUUUAGGGCAAAGAUAGUGGGUGUUUUUUUUUUUUAAAUCUCUGUAACCCCAGGAUUGCCAAGUACCUCGUGGGUGCUUAAUAAUCAGGUAUGGAAUAAAUAAAACGAUGAAUCUGCAAACUGAUUUCGUUUGAACGUAGCUUUUUAUUAGCAUAAAGAUCAAUAAUUCUUGAAUCAGGUAAAUUUCAAAGAUAAAUGGUGUAAUUUAAUCAAGAUUAAAGUAGCAUUUUGUAGGGAGAAUGUUUAGUUGAUAUGAUAGAUCUGCAGUUGCCUAGAAAUUCCAAUCCUUGGUCCUCAGGCAAAUUAUGGCAGUGGAUCACUCACUGAGUUUUUAAAAUUCACAUUCUUAGGUUCCAUCCCAAUUUGUUGAAUCAGAGUCUCUAAAAAAUGAGCAUAGACAGAUGUUUUGUUUUGUUUUUCCAAGUAUCUCCAACUUGCCAGCCCUGUGAUCUUGAGCAAAGUUUUAAUUUCUCAAAGCUCCAGUAUCCUCAUACACAUACAUAAAAUAAAGAUAAUUAUCAAAUUAUCAUACUUCCCUUGUAUUUAUUUAUUUUAAUGGCUGCACCCACAGCAUGUAGAAUUUCCCAGGCCAGGGACUGAAUCUGAGCUGUAGCUGUGGAAACACUGGAUCCUUUAAUCUACUGCACCAGGCAGGGGAUCGAACCCGCACCUCCAAAGCUGCCUGAAUCACGGCAGUUGGAUUCUUAACCCACUGCAUCCCAGCGGAACUCCUCAAGCGUCCCUUUUAGGUUGAGUAAUGUUUAAAUGAAAAAAAAAAAAAAAAAUCCCGUAAGAACUAAACACAGUACCUAAAGUGCCAAAACAUGGAACAAACAUUUUUAUUUUAAUACUAGUGCAAUUUUUAAUCUUGGGAGUAUGUGCCACACCACCACCCAUGAGCCACCACUGCCACACUGGCCAAAUAUCCUAACUGCAGUUUCCUGUCCUUUGUUGUUUUUUUUUUGUUUGUUUGUUUUGCUUUUUAGGGCCAUACCUGCAGCAUAUGGAAGUUCCCAUGCUAGGGGUCAAAUUAGAGCUGUAGCUGCUGGCCUAUACCACAGCCACAGCAAUGCGGGAUCCGAAUCGCUUCUGUGACCCACACCACAGCUCAGGGCAACGCCAGAUCCUUAACGCACUGAGCGAGGCCACGGAUCGAACCCACAUCCUCAUGGAUACUAGUCGGGUUUGUUUCCACUACACCACAAAUGGGAACUCCCUUUCCUUUGUAUUUAAAUAGUUAAAACUGAACCAACCCGCUAGUUCCCACUAAUCAAGUAUAAGAGAGAGGCUAGAUUUUAAGUAUUCCAACCUCCUCCCUUUUAUCAACCUCUGCUAUUGAGGGGCAAAAUUUCUUCAGUUAUUUCUAAGAAUUAAGUUAUGCAAGUCUCAUCCAGGCUUGAAGUUACCUCUGUGGGGGAUGGCAGAGAAAAUGCUCUAGGACAAAACUUCUUAAAUAUAUUUAUCCCCAAAGAUUAAAAAGAUGGCUCAAGAAAACCUGUUCUGUGGGAAACUGUUUUGAAAGAUACGUUGCAUUUAUUCAUUAAUUUCCUUUCUGUUCUCUCUCUAAUGUCCUUAUAGCUCUACCAGGGCUCCAAUGUUCAUUUCCAUUCAAAAGGAGCCAAAUGAGUACAUACUGUGCAAACGGUAGCACAUGUGAACUCUUCGACAUUUCAGAAACCAAUUUCUCUCUUAAUAUUAUGGGGGAGAAAAGGAAAAUAUUUAGGAGGAACAUAAAUGCUUCAGGUAGAAAAAAGCAUCCUUAAGAAAACAGCCCAGGAUCUCCUGUAUUCUACUAAGAGGUGGCAGGAACAUAGAAACAAACUUCUGGAGUUGAGAAAACAUGGAUAGAACAUUUUCUAGGUCAAUACAAAGUCUAUUAUAUACCUUAUCUUCACACUUACUCUCAAAGGUAAUCUUCCCAAUGACGCCAAAAGGGUUGUGCUGUUAUCCCAGUGUUACAGGUGAGGAAAGGCAGACACAUUAAAGCUGAGACUUCACAGAAUGGAGUGAGACUCAAAGCACGACUUGCUCCAUUUCACGGUUCAUCCUCUUUUUAUUAAACUAUUCUGUGUAGUACAGAGGAGCAGCCCACAACUACCCAAGGCCAUUGCUAACUAAAGCAGAAUACUCUAGGGAGUUCCCUGGUGGCCUAGCAAUUAAGGACCUGGCAUUGUCACUGCUGUGGCUGGGAACUUCCACAUGCUGUAGGCAUGGCCAAAAAAACCAAACAAUUCUGUUUAGUUCAUGGAAGACUUUGCCCUGUGGGAGACUCCCCUGGGCUGCACAUGUUGGAAUGACUUUUUUACACAUUUGCAGGACAUGAAUAAAACAAUUUUAGACUUUGGAGCAGAAAGAAAUUGGUCAGGAGGUAGGGGACAAUUUUUUCUCCCUCUGUUCUUCAUGUUUUAAUUUGGAGAUGGGUUUAUUUAUUUUUAACUUAUUAUGAAAAAGAAAAGGAGGCUUCAGGACCACACUAUGAUGGGCUUUCCUAUUUUUGUCAGAUAAGGAGGACUCUCAGCUUUUUCACUCUCCCUUUAUUUAUACCAGCAGAUGAAGACUUUGAACCAAAGCAUUUGAUGUUUUUCUGUUAAUUCCUCAAAAUCUUACCAGACCUCCCCCGUAUAGCCCAAUGCUUCUCUCUUACAAAGACCCGCGUGAGAAGGAGGGUAAUGAAAAGAUGACACGAAACAUGGAUGAAUGAACCCCUUUGCAGAACUGUACCAGUUGAAGUGAUGGCACUAAGCUCAGGUCUUCACGGCUGUUGUCUCUUUUAAUCCUUAAGAUAACUUGUGAUGAUCCUCUUUUAUCAAAAAAAGGGCACUGAAGCCUGGAGGGGACAGUUAGCUUGUCCAGGGCCCAGCAGAUCCUGGGCAGUGUUUCCAGAUCCCUGACCUGUGCGUUUGUGCAGUGUAAGGGCUUUAGAGCCAAAAUACUUGGGUUCGUAUUUUAGCUCUACUACCCACGUGACCUUGGGCAUAUUUCUUAAUCUGGGCAGAGAGAUUCAUCUCCAAAAGUCUUCAUCUCCAAAACAGGGGGCAGUGACGGAGACAGUCAAUCACAGCGCUACUGUGAAGAUUAAAUGAGUGAAUACAUUUAAAGGUCUUAGAUCUGUGAUUUCCGCCUGGUAUGCCAAAGGGCUUAGGGGACCACAAGGCUGAGAUAUUUCAAAUUUUCAAGGGAACCUUCAAGGGAAAUAUCUGACACCUGUCAGUGCGUGAGCUGCUAGCUUAAAGUGGUUCACAGUUUCAACACUAGCUCACACUGCGUUCCUUUUGAUGAUGGUAUAUCUUCACAAACUGGGUUCUCAGUUAACACUGUGGGGAGGCAAUACCACCCCAAAUCCAAUGUGGAGCCGACAUGAAAGUGGCAGUGUCCAGUCGAAUCCCCACAUUUGAGAAGCUGUACAGCACCCAACAGGCACACACAUCCCAUUAUAGCUAAUGACGUUAUUUAAAAAUGAUACAAAAGUAUGUCAUUGUUUUCAAAUGGCUCUUAAGCUGUCAGGACAUAAAUAGGUAUCAAGUUGUUGAGACGACGGCAACAUCAUCAUCAACAUUAACCCAUUUGUCCAUCAUCUACUUAGUAAAUGGAUAUGAUGAAUAUUUCUUUUGGCCCAGAUGUGCCAUGGGAAAAAAAAAAAAAAAAAAAAAAAAAAAAACAGUGUCACUGUGAAUGCCACAAAAUGAGAACGUUUGGAACGUCUGACUUGGAACAAUUCCUGGUAGCUAGUCAGGCUGUAUAUGUGAGCUGUUAUCAUCCACCUCCAUGCUGUACUGAGUCUCAUAUUAAGUUCUACCAAUUCCAUAUGAGUAACAGAGCUGGUGUACGUGUCUGCAAACUGCCUAAAGAGGCUGGAAGAGAGGGACCGGUUUUACAGCUAAAGACGGAAGGCUGAAGCUGGCAUGUGACUUGUCCCAGUCGUUCGGCUCAUCCAUGUGAUGCUGGAACGUCCACAGAGCACUUGUUUCUCUAAACCAGGAUGCUUCU
Molecule: long non-coding RNA, 5438 nt
Filed under: Sus scrofa (pig)
Lineage: Eukaryota; Metazoa; Chordata; Mammalia; Artiodactyla; Suidae
Description: lncRNA (ENSSSCG00000051034.2)
Source: RNAcentral